CGCCACGAAAUCGACGGCGUAAAGCUAUUUUGUGUAUUUAGCAUGCUUAACCAAAUACAUCAUUAAAUACGGCAGGUUUCAAACUUUAACUACGUUAUUCAUUUAAGAAUGAAAAAAUAGAAUUUCCUUGAUUAUUUGAUUGGGAAAGAUGAAAAAACGUGCCGCGGCCGUGACACUUCUCGGUAAAUAAAUGUAAAUUGAAAUGACACACGGAAUGGUAACGUAUUUUCCUUUAUAGGGAUGAUACCUCCUGAUAUUAUGAACAUGAAAUGCCUAUUGAUACAAAAACUCGCCAGGUAAAACGGCAUUGUGUCAAUUCAACAGGCCCAAAACUAGCGACCGGCCAAAGGGAGAUAACUCGAAUGAAAAGUCGUUGAAGGGACGGCUGAUCAGAAACGAGAGAAAAUAACCAUUUCGCUCAAUUUUAGUAAGUGAAAGAGUUCAUUCUGGGGUAAAAUAUCCAAUAAUUUAUCAGUGUGCGAAGGAAAAUGUGUAAAUAUGAAAAAUACCUUGGAUAUUACAAUUAAUCAUUGGAAUGAGGGCACCUGUCAGGUAUCAAGACCCAAACAGUGAGAGAAAGUAUAAUAGAAUGUAUGUCUGCUUUGGUAAAUCACUAUUUAAUUACAUAUUGCAUUAAAAUAUCUGAUAAUCAUCUAGAAAUCGGGGAAAUUGCAAAUAUUAUUACAUAUUCAGUUUAAAAAAUAUAUUACUACAGCUUCAGAAGAAAUAUAAAAAAAAGUUUUCUAUAUGGUUAUUUUUUUACAUAAAGUGAGGGGUUUUGGACCAGUAAAUUGUUAGAAAAAAAAUACUUGCCCAAAGCUUUGGUGUUAAAAUUCCAUCAUUAAAGGGGGGAAUGUUGCAGAAUAUUCCCUGAUUGCAUGUGUAUACCUCUAUUUUGUUAUGUAUAUAUAUACUUUGAUGGAAAUAAUUAUUUCAUGGCAUACUUUUUAGAAGAAUCAUAAAUUAUUAUUCUUGAAUACACAUAAAUUCUUCAUUUUGAUUCAGCAUUCAGUGAUGCAGAAACAUAUUGUUUCUUAGUAGAUCUACAUAAAAAUAUAUUUUAUAAAGAUUAUGGGUAUAAAAUGUACAAUUUUGCUGUUAUAUAUUCUAUUCUAGAAUAAUGUUUUUAGAGAAUUUCUGUUAAGUUAAGACCCAAUGUCAGUUAUAUCUGUGAACUUAUUAAAUGUUUAUUUCCAUUCUAAAUAUGUUUAUCUAUGCAAGUAAUUAUUUUAAUAUGUGAGGCCUAUUAAUGAUGAACACUGAAAUGUAACAACUUCUAGUCACUGGCGAUAGGAUAUCAUAUAUACCCUUGACAAUUUUGAUUAAAAAUUGAAUUAAUCAAAGUACUCUAUAAGAAGGCUUUACCAAAAAUGUAAUUUCUAUGUGUUUGUAAGUAGCAAUAUUACAAAGUAAUAAAAAUUUAGAAAAAAUAAUAAAUAAUAAAAACAAAAUCAGGGCUUUAUUUCAUUUUGUAUUGAGAGACUGAUUAAAAAAGUAAAAUCUAUUCCUGAAAAAAUAGAUGUCAUAAAAAUAUUGCAUUUUAUAUUGAACUUUGUUCUCUGCAGUGGUUUUUCAUUCUAACUAUAUAUUUAGAUUUGGCCUGAUAGUGACACUGUCAUGUGUUUUGUUGUGUGCUGUCUCAUUUUAGAAAAGGGGUUAUAUUGUAAAAUAUAAAAUUCUGAAAUGUAGUAGUUUAAACUUUCUGUUUUUUUUUUUAAAUCAUUUGGCUUAGGAGAUAUUAUAUAAAUCUAAGCAUAGAAUAUGGAUACCCAUACAGUCCUCUUGAGUCAUGUCUGUUUAACAUUUAAGAUAAAGUAAAUUUUAUAUUUUUCUAGAAUAAAGUAAAACUGAAAAUAGCUUUCUCGCUAAUUAUAUGUAAUUCAGUGGGAUAGUAAUGCAUGUACUCAAAUUAAAAAAAAAAAACAAUCACAACAUUCAACAGCUUGAGCCAUGGAGUGUGAAAAAUAAUUUAUAUAAUGAAUAUAACCUUUUUAUAUAAUUCAUAUAAUAUAUAGUAUAAUAUAUAUUGACAUAAUGUUCUCAAAUAAUAUAUACCAUAUGAGACAUAUGAUAUAUAACCAUUUCUGGUAACAUAUAUAUAUAUAUAUAUAGACUGAAAUAUGUGUAAUAAUGAAGAAUUAAAAAAAAAAUACCAUGUUGACCUGAUAUAUAAAUCCUCAAUCAUCAAAUGCAGGUGCAUGCAGCUUAACAAUUGUAAAAAAAGAAUGAACUAGACUAAGUAUUCAUUAAUAGAGAUUAAUUUACUAAUAGGUAAACUGGAUGCAGAUUGAACAAUCAUCUAUGGAACAAUUAUUGAAUGACUGCUAGAACCUGGAAGAUGAAUAGGGAACAAGCACAAGCAAUAUUAUAUUAUGAAGUGAUAUCAUCUUCAUUCAUUUGAAAUUACAUCUGAAAGCUACAAAAUAAGGAUCUGACUCUCUUCAAACUGUUUUCCUCUGUUAUUUAUCUAUGAUAUAUCUGAUCUCAGAAUGUUUACACUGGACAUGUCAUUCUUUCACUGAUUCAGGACAAAACCUGACAAGUGUCACAAUAAUUUACACCUGGACUUCCCAAAAAAUAAUGCACUGCUAAAGGGAUGUUAUUGGGAGGUUUGUGUACAUUUUAUUACAUGUUUAAUGCGCUGAAUUCAUAACAUUUGUGUGAUUUAUAUGAAAGUAAAACAAAUUUUGUUCAUUUUUAGUAUUUUUGUGUACUGGGGCAUGAAAAAGGGAAAUAAAUUACACAAAAAAUAACAGAUUUUGUUCAUUUCAAAUGACAUGUUGACUGUCUUUUCAUUAGUGGCAAGUCUGUCAUAUUUCGGAGCUGUUUUAGUCAAGAGCAGAG
RNAcentral lists this long non-coding RNA (2844 nucleotides) under Mytilus galloprovincialis (Mediterranean mussel). Lineage: Eukaryota; Metazoa; Mollusca; Bivalvia; Mytilida; Mytilidae. The record is from RNAcentral.